GGGUUGUGAGGUUAAGCGACUAAGCGUACACGGUGGAUGCCCUGGCAGUCAGAGGCGAUGAAGGACGUGCUAAUCUGCGAUAAGCGUCGGUAAGGUGAUAUGAACCGUUAUAACCGGCGAUUUCCGAAUGGGGAAACCCAGUGUGAUUCGUCACACUAUCAUUAACUGAAUCCAUAGGUUAAUGAGGCGAACCGGGGGAACUGAAACAUCUAAGUACCCCGAGGAAAAGAAAUCAACCGAGAUUCCCCCAGUAGCGGCGAGCGAACGGGGAGCAGCCCAGAGCCUGAAUCAGUGUGUGUGUUAGUGGAAGCGUCUGGAAAGGCGCGCGAUACAGGGUGACAGCCCCGUACACAAAAAUGCACAUGCUGUGAGCUCGAUGAGUAGGGCGGGACACGUGGUAUCCUGUCUGAAUAUGGGGGGACCAUCCUCCAAGGCUAAAUACUCCUGACUGACCGAUAGUGAACCAGUACCGUGAGGGAAAGGCGAAAAGAACCCCGGCGAGGGGAGUGAAAAAGAACCUGAAACCGUGUACGUACAAGCAGUGGGAGCACGCUUAGGCGUGUGACUGCGUACCUUUUGUAUAAUGGGUCAGCGACUUAUAUUCUGUAGCAAGGUUAACCGAAUAGGGGAGCCGAAGGGAAACCGAGUCUUAACUGGGCGUUAAGUUGCAGGGUAUAGACCCGAAACCCGGUGAUCUAGCCAUGGGCAGGUUGAAGGUUGGGUAACACUAACUGGAGGACCGAACCGACUAAUGUUGAAAAAUUAGCGGAUGACUUGUGGCUGGGGGUGAAAGGCCAAUCAAACCGGGAGAUAGCUGGUUCUCCCCGAAAGCUAUUUAGGUAGCGCCUCGUGAAUUCAUCUCCGGGGGUAGAGCACUGUUUCGGCAAGGGGGUCAUCCCGACUUACCAACCCGAUGCAAACUGCGAAUACCGGAGAAUGUUAUCACGGGAGACACACGGCGGGUGCUAACGUCCGUCGUGAAGAGGGAAACAACCCAGACCGCCAGCUAAGGUCCCAAAGUCAUGGUUAAGUGGGAAACGAUGUGGGAAGGCCCAGACAGCCAGGAUGUUGGCUUAGAAGCAGCCAUCAUUUAAAGAAAGCGUAAUAGCUCACUGGUCGAGUCGGCCUGCGCGGAAGAUGUAACGGGGCUAAACCAUGCACCGAAGCUGCGGCAGCGACGCUGAUGCGUUGUUGGGUAGGGGAGCGUUCUGUAAGCCUGCGAAGGUGUGCUGUGAGGCAUGCUGGAGGUAUCAGAAGUGCGAAUGCUGACAUAAGUAACGAUAAAGCGGGUGAAAAGCCCGCUCGCCGGAAGACCAAGGGUUCCUGUCCAACGUUAAUCGGGGCAGGGUGAGUCGACCCCUAAGGCGAGGCCGAAAGGCGUAGUCGAUGGGAAACAGGUUAAUAUUCCUGUACUUGGUGUUACUGCGAAGGGGGGACGGAGAAGGCUAUGUUGGCCGGGCGACGGUUGUCCCGGUUUAAGCGUGUAGGCUGGUUUUCCAGGCAAAUCCGGAAAAUCAAGGCUGAGGCGUGAUGACGAGGCACUACGGUGCUGAAGCAACAAAUGCCCUGCUUCCAGGAAAAGCCUCUAAGCAUCAGGUAACAUCAAAUCGUACCCCAAACCGACACAGGUGGUCAGGUAGAGAAUACCAAGGCGCUUGAGAGAACUCGGGUGAAGGAACUAGGCAAAAUGGUGCCGUAACUUCGGGAGAAGGCACGCUGAUAUGUAGGUGAAGUCCCUCGCGGAUGGAGCUGAAAUCAGUCGAAGAUACCAGCUGGCUGCAACUGUUUAUUAAAAACACAGCACUGUGCAAACACGAAAGUGGACGUAUACGGUGUGACGCCUGCCCGGUGCCGGAAGGUUAAUUGAUGGGGUUAGCGCAAGCGAAGCUCUUGAUCGAAGCCCCGGUAAACGGCGGCCGUAACUAUAACGGUCCUAAGGUAGCGAAAUUCCUUGUCGGGUAAGUUCCGACCUGCACGAAUGGCGUAAUGAUGGCCAGGCUGUCUCCACCCGAGACUCAGUGAAAUUGAACUCGCUGUGAAGAUGCAGUGUACCCGCGGCAAGACGGAAAGACCCCGUGAACCUUUACUAUAGCUUGACACUGAACAUUGAGCCUUGAUGUGUAGGAUAGGUGGGAGGCUUUGAAGUGUGGACGCCAGUCUGCAUGGAGCCGACCUUGAAAUACCACCCUUUAAUGUUUGAUGUUCUAACGUUGACCCGUAAUCCGGGUUGCGGACAGUGUCUGGUGGGUAGUUUGACUGGGGCGGUCUCCUCCUAAAGAGUAACGGAGGAGCACGAAGGUUGGCUAAUCCUGGUCGGACAUCAGGAGGUUAGUGCAAUGGCAUAAGCCAGCUUGACUGCGAGCGUGACGGCGCGAGCAGGUGCGAAAGCAGGUCAUAGUGAUCCGGUGGUUCUGAAUGGAAGGGCCAUCGCUCAACGGAUAAAAGGUACUCCGGGGAUAACAGGCUGAUACCGCCCAAGAGUUCAUAUCGACGGCGGUGUUUGGCACCUCGAUGUCGGCUCAUCACAUCCUGGGGCUGAAGUAGGUCCCAAGGGUAUGGCUGUUCGCCAUUUAAAGUGGUACGCGAGCUGGGUUUAGAACGUCGUGAGACAGUUCGGUCCCUAUCUGCCGUGGGCGCUGGAGAACUGAGGGGGGCUGCUCCUAGUACGAGAGGACCGGAGUGGACGCAUCACUGGUGUUCGGGUUGUCAUGCCAAUGGCACUGCCCGGUAGCUAAAUGCGGAAGAGAUAAGUGCUGAAAGCAUCUAAGCACGAAACUUGCCCCGAGAUGAGUUCUCCCUGACUCCUUGAGAGUCCUGAAGGAACGUUGAAGACGACGACGUUGAUAGGCCGGGUGUGUAAGCACAGCGAUGCGUUGAGCUAACCGGUACUAAUGAACCGUGAGGCUUAACCUUACAACGCCGAAGGUGUUU
RNAcentral lists this ribosomal RNA (2931 nucleotides) under Escherichia coli. RNAcentral describes it as "23S ribosomal RNA". It matches the Rfam family "Bacterial large subunit ribosomal RNA". The record is from RNAcentral. Lineage: Bacteria; Pseudomonadati; Pseudomonadota; Gammaproteobacteria; Enterobacterales; Enterobacteriaceae.